Capsicum annuum is the source of this 6113-nucleotide long non-coding RNA. RefSeq lists it as uncharacterized. The record is from RefSeq and is a predicted model, not a curated record. NCBI's taxonomy places the organism in Eukaryota, Viridiplantae, Streptophyta, Magnoliopsida, Solanales, Solanaceae. The transcript has 3 exons.
CUCAAGCUCGUAAGCUACCUUUUUGAAAUGGUUGAGAAUUUGGAAAGGACUGACAUAUCGAGGACUGAAUUUCCCCUUCUUUCCAAACCUCUUCACUUUUUUUAUAAGAGAGAUUUUUAGAUACACAAAAUCAUUAUUCUGUAACUCAAUAUCAUUUACUGUACACGCAUGAACAGGAACAUGAGAACAUAAUGAGCCUAAAAUGGAUAUAUUGACUGAGUAUCUUUGGUUAAACUGAGCCCUUGAAUACAUGGCUUACGACUGAGAUUGGAACUUGAGGGUCAACCUAUGAGUACCCACUAUUCCAAUUAAAUUUGUUAUGUGUGGAGAAGCUGGGGAAUUUAUGGCAUGAAAGCUCAGGUAUUAUAGUGCAUCUCCCCCUUGGGACAUUAUGUCCCUCAAAGAAUACUAACUUGGCUGAGAUUCUGAGGAAAAGCUGAAACGAUGCACCGGGCACCUAUGAACUGAGUCGUAACUGAGUAUCUCGAAUCCAAAAUCGAGACAUGAUACAUGAAUUGAGCUUAUCACGCAACUACCUGGUUGCCCUAUCUUGGAACUAUUACGUUCAUAAGACUUCGAAUAGUGUGACUAGUGGGGAAAGUUGGGAGACCAAGCCAUAUGAAUUUGUCCGCCUGAUUGCUAAACAGAAUUUCUAGCUUUACGAACUAACUUGUGCUGAAAACUCAUGCUCGACUGGAGCAUUUCCUUGACACUCUUUCUAUAGAGUUUCUAGUGACUUUAGGGAGUAAAAAAUCUUUGCCUAGGCUAAAUAAAACGUCUAAAAAAGAAGUCACAUUCUAGCUAAAUUUUUGUAAUAUAUGGUGAGGCCUACGAAACCUCAUCUAAGAUAGAGUGACUAAGCCUCAUACACUGCAACUAAGAUUUUCAAACUUAGACAUAUCCCUUGGAUACCCUUUCAACUAUACUUUCCACCUUAGCACGGCACUCUACCUGAUACUACUGAAAAUAUUCACAUGGGCACUGAGCAUGAAUGCAUGAACAUACUGUCUUAUCUGAUUAAUUGAACGGCUGAUAGAUGAAUACUGGUUAUGCAAGAUUGAACUAUUCUUAGUCUAAAUUACUAGGCUGAAACUGUAGAGUAUUAAGCAUAUAAGGUAAGGAUCGACUAAGUAACAUAAGACAACUAAACAUAAAUUUAUGGAGGAUUAUAUUAUUUAAAAGUGCAAGAACAAGCGUAUAACAUGAUUCCUAAAUAGUUUGUAAACUGAGGUUCUAAAAUAUUGAUAUCUAAAUAACUAAUAAUUGUAUGCUAUGGUCAAGCAAACCUGAAACUGAACUGAGUUACUAAUUUAAUUGCUAGAAUGGGACUGGGACCGUAACUAAGACGGUAGGUGAGACUGUAAUUGAGACUGUAAUUGGGACUCAUACUAUAACAUGAGGAAUAGAGAACAUUCUAAAUACCUCGUAUCCUGCGACUUAUAAGUAUGGCAUGUUACACACCCAUAAAAGAGACUCUACUGACACGACUUCGUAGACACCCUAGGGUAUUGAACCAUGCUCUAAUACCAAGCUUAUCACGACUCAAGCUGAUGCCUUGUUCUUGAUGGGCAUCCCAAACCAUGAAGGCUCGAGAGACCCCUUAGUAUGCUAUCAUAAGUAGAAUUCAUUCAAAAAAUAUGGAAUUAUAUCAUAAGGUUUUCAAUAAGUCUAUUAAACAAUCUCUUAAAAUAAAUUCACAACAUAACACAUACAAAGAUCUAGUUUAUGAUACCCUUACUCUUGAGUAGAUGUCUAGGGUAGGACAAGGCCCUCAGUCAGACCAUAAAACUAAAAGAAAUUGAAAUCAUAAAUAAAGUACUUUAAAAAAUGAAGGGUUCACCAACUCUAAAGCUGGUAGAAAUCCUAGUAUUGUGUUGGACCACGAGACUGAGCCUCAAAACCUACAUUAUGAGACAAUGACAUACCAGAGGACGGUCAAUACUUGAAAUUUAUUAGUAUGCAUAACAAUCCAAAAAUAAUUCAACAUAUAUUUAUACGAAAUAAAGAAAAGCAUUUUGAAAAAAAUUGACAAAAUAGAAAUCAAAACACAUGGACAUAUCUAAAAGCUUCAAUAAGUCUUUUAAGGACAUAAACUUAACCAUUUUCUUUACUUUUGAACUAUAUGGCAUCUCCAACUUUUGUACUACCCACGAGCUAUAUGGGUCCGACUUUAACUCAUUGGCCAAUCUUUCAAUUUGAGUUUUCCAUAGGGAUUGGAAUCUCUAUUUUCUAUUCGAGUAUACCAGUGCUGAGUCAAGUAUGCAUUGACCAUCCACAUAUCAGGAUUGAGCCAAUUUUUUUGCAUCAAUAAAACACUAUUUUGGAUUGUAAGCUUCUCAACUCACGCCAUCUUGAUUAACCAUCUAACUCUCUUAAAGCCCAUUAUAACCUUUUAAAAUCAUACUUCAUUCUUAUAAAAAUUUAUUUCUUGUUCUUUUAAGGGCAUUUCGUAAAAGGCAUCAUCUUACCUAGACUUGAAAGCUGUAUUAUAUCAUAUCCUAUCCAUAGUCCUUCUUUCAAAAACAUCUAUCACUGACCACCAUCAUAAUUCCAAUAUCAAACAAAAGUUCUUAUUUCAAAAAUGGAUAUAAAAUUUUAAAAGCAAAACUUUUUCCCUUUCAAGACUUAACUCUUCGGUAGUCAUGUUCUUUCAUAGCUCAUACAUAUUUCAUAGAAAAUAAGAGCAUUUAAAAUACCCAAGAUACUCUACAUAUUCAUAUAAUUAAACAACACAUAAUUCAACAAAAAAAUGUAUGAAGCAUUAACCUUUUGCUUUGUUCACUUAGAAACCCAUAUGUUGAUGUUGUUUAUUGUACUAACUCUAAACCUCAUGUCAUGAGGAUGUGGUGCUUGUUUUUCUUUUCUUCGUUCUUGAAAGGUUUGGAUUCUAGGUUGAAUCCUUUUCAAGAAGGGGAGGAUGAUACAAGUCAAAUAGCCACCCUAACUUUGGAAGACAUGAUUGGAGACCAUCAUUUAAAGGCUCAAGACUUGGUCACCCCGAGGGCACAAGAAUAUGUAAUGAACACCCAUUUUGAGCCUACCAUUGAGCAUACUAUUCAUCAAGGCCGUGAGUGGAAGGUUGCUUGGAGCAUUGAAGACUCGAGGAUUCAUGGUUUUGGAGACUUAAUAGCUCACGAUUUUGGGCCAUCUUCAUUGAGGGCAUUUGGGUCACUUCACUUUGCCCAAAAUGUACUCCAUGGCCACCCCUCUCAUUAAGGAUAGUGUAGUCAUUUAUCUUCUUUUGUAAUGUAAUAUAAAUAGAACAAGAUAAGGUUUUUAGGACUUAGUUGUUUAUUGAUGUAAGACUUGAAACAUGAAACACCUUUAGUUGUAGGUCUUAGAAUAGCCACCAUACUAAAAUAAGGGCAACAAGUGUGGAUAUCACUUGUGUUGCAAUGUUGGCUUGAUACGUUGGUGCUUAGAAGAGGUAAAGUUCCUCUUGUAUCAAUGUAGGAGUUAGUUUAACCAUUGUUUAUAGUGUUAAGGGUCCAAGAGUAUCAUAUGUUCUUGGGUUCUUAAGAUUAUACCAACCAAGGUCCAACGAUCUAUCAAUUUUGUUUAUGUUGUAAUCGUUUAUUUGUGUUCUUAUAAUCCAUACCCGUGACUUGUUGUUCUUGUUCCAUUGUUGUUGUUCUUCAUCUUGUUGUUGUUAACAUCAUUUGUUGUUGGCUAUUUUUUGGUGUUAAAUACCACAAUACAUUGUAUUCUUGUUGUUGCUUGUUGAAUCCGAGAGGGGUCAUCUAAAAGGGUCCACGGUUUCCUUGACUAGUAGACUAUUUUGGGUGUUUGUUUUGUGUUUCCUAGUCCUUCUUUUAUCAUUUGGUAUCAGAGAAUGACUUGAUCUUGUUCCCACAAGAUCAAUCUUGGACUCGUAAACUUGAAAAUUAAAAAAAUUGUUGAAAAAAAAAAUUGAAAAUUCUAGAAAAAGGAUGAAAUAUGUCCAUCUUUUUGUUCUUGGCCAAAAGUUGUUGUUCUUGAGAAGUUGUCUUGGCCAAGAUUUGUACUUGAUCUAGUAGAUUUUUAUUUGUAUAGUGUGUUUCUUGUGUUGGUUUUUUUCUCACUAACACAAAAGGUCUCUAGAUCUAAAAUUGAGCUUAUAAUAUUGACCUUGUUGUUGUGAACUUGAAGUGGCCGUGUGUUAUGAUUUAAAGUUGGCCGUGUGCUAUGCCUUUUUGUUAAAGAUUGGAGGACAUUGUUUGUGUGUUAUUGGAAGUUUGUUUUUGUGUUCAUAUGGUUCUUCAUAUCUUCUCAUACUUAAACCAACAAAAAGUGCAAAUAGAUUCAAAAGGAGUGGGGAUAAAAGUUGUAAAGUGUGCUUGUGAGAAGACUUGAGCUAUCACUUCCUAGACUUGCCAUCAACUUUUUCAACUACUAUCCUUAAAUCAAGGAGCUUUGUUUGGUGGAACUAUUACAAGUCAAGAUCAUCUUUUUGAGAUUAAACUUACAAAGGACUCGAGACUUAUACUUUUCCUCCAAAUACAAUUGUCUUCCAUUCCAAAUUGUGUAAAAAUUGAAAUUUCAAAUUUGUGAUUAAAGUUGUGUAGGACCGAGACCAAUUACAUGUUGCCACAUCACCUUAAUUACUGUUCAUCAUCAAUAUUAAGAUCAAAUUUGGAUUUUCCUAGUUUCGAAUUAUUGAUUCUUGGUUUCAUUAGUUGAUCCUAGAACUAAUUAACAAAAUAGUAAACUCCUACUAGAUUGUCAAUUAGUCCUUUGCGUCCAUUAUUCGUAUCGAUAAAACACCAUGCUUAUUGUCAUGCCCAAAUUAGAUUCACAAAAGUGCAACUUUCGAUUUUCCUCUAUGAAGAAAAAAGGAAUUUAUGACUUGUUUAGAAAUGUCAUCUUUUUUUAUUUAGAAAAAAAAUUUUAAGGUCCCUAGUUGUAGAUCGAGUUGCCAGAUGAUUAACUUGAAAGAUAGACCCAACAUUCAGGUCCAAGUCCUUGUUAAUGUAUGUAGAGAAAAUUCUGUAGGGUGACAUUAAGUGUUCAAAGUAAAAUUAGUGUCAAAUUUGACUAGACCAAGUCAAAUCUUUUUAAAAUUAGUAAUUAAGUUAAAUUGACGUACAAAUGUAAUUCUUAAAACUCUUACACUUCAAAAAUUCAAAACUAGCUCAAUCAAAAAGCAUAUUUCGCUUUACCAACAUUUUCAAUUUAGUCUCACAAUUUGUUUUCUCUUUCUCUAGAACAAAACUUCUUUUCUCCUCUUGAUAUCGACGAUAACAAUUGACUCAAUCAAUACUUUCGCUUCUCUCAAGUACUACCACGACAACAAUCUAUUCUCUUGCUUUUCUGACCUCAAGUUAUCAUCGUCGUGAUCGUCUCUGGGUUUCUCUCAACUCUGACCUCAAGUUGCCAUUGUCUUGUGUUUCCAUCGCCAUCAAAAUCAUUGUCUCCAUCUCCGACCUUAAGUUAAAUUUCGAUUCUCCAAGACCAAUACAAUCAGAUUGUAAUGCUGCUUAACAAAGGGAAAGAUGAGAAGGAUUCCACCCUACCUGCAGCAAAUGCAGUAUCUCACUCUUUACAGAAUAAGGUGUACCUUUCUAUAGUUAGUGAGGUUGCAGUGUCUCACAAAGGUACUUCUUUGUGCUAAAUAAUUCCUCAAUUUCUGAUGUUCUAUAGUUGUCUGAGUUUAAAUAUUAUCUUUUAUCUGUAUCAAAGCUGACUAGGGAAUUACUGUGUUCAGUGGGAUUCUUUCCUUCUUUCCUGACUUCUCAAUAUUCCAGGAUCUCUAUACUAGUAUGGUGCUGGGAUUGGUAGAGAAGAUCAGGGUCAAUAUAUUCUCAAAAGAAGUUCUAUUCCCCAAAGUUGUGUAAAUAAAUAUGCUUAUACUGUGUAGUUGUCCUCCAUGUCCAGUGUCCUUUGGCACAAAAAAAAAUGGGACAUGCUCCUAUUGAAGUGCUCAAGAAACAUACAGCACUAAGCCAUCUGAAGGAUAAAGAUCAUGUGUGUAGUUUGUGUCCCCUUGCUAAACAUGCCAAGCUAAAUUUUCAGUCUAGCAUUUCUAUAUCCAAGGCUCCUUUUGCUCUAGUACAUUUUGAUAUAUGGUGUCCUUAUAGAGUACCUACCUACAAUAACAAAAGGUUUUUUUGUUACUAUAGUGGAUGAUUACUCUA